UACGUAGGGUGCGAGCGUUGUCCGGAAUUAUUGGGCGUAAAGAGCUUGUAGGUGGCUCGUUGCGUCGGGAGUGAAAACCUGCGGCUUAACCGCAGGCCUGCUUCCGAUACGGGCGAGCUAGAGUUCGGCAGGGGAGACUGGAAUUCCUGGUGUAGCGGUGGAAUGCGCAGAUAUCAGGAGGAACACCGGUGGCGAAGGCGGUUCUCUGGGCCGAUACUGACGCUGAGGAGCGAAAGCGUGGGGAGCGAACAGG
This 253-nucleotide ribosomal RNA is filed under the name uncultured bacterium. RNAcentral describes it as "partial 16S ribosomal RNA". It matches the Rfam family "Bacterial small subunit ribosomal RNA", at positions 524 to 776 of the family's 1533-position model. The record is from RNAcentral.